Molecule: long non-coding RNA, 664 nt
Filed under: Marmota monax (woodchuck)
Lineage: Eukaryota; Metazoa; Chordata; Mammalia; Rodentia; Sciuridae
Source: RNAcentral
GAUCAUGUAAACAUUUUCAGUUUUCAAUUUUAAAACAAGUUAGUAUGUCUGAAAGCUACUAUUCAGCUGUAACUAGUACAAACAUUUUUCUUGAGUUACAAACAAAUGCAAUGAAAUUAAUAAGGCCUAUUUUUUCCUCUCAAAUUUUACACUCAAAUGAAAAUGGGCACUUUUUAUUUUCUCAAUGGAAAAGUAAUGCACUAAUGAUAAAUUGAACAGAAAAAUUUAAGAAAGUAAGACCCUCCUAUUACUUGUCAUCCUUUGCUGAGAUCCUGCCCACACCCUGAUUUGGCAUAGGGGUGCAGUAAAAAUAUUGGACCUUCAUAGCUGAAGGGGUGGGAAGUGAAGGGAAAAGCAGUUGGAUUAGAAAUAAAGAAGAUACAAAAUUAUUCCUCAAAGAGGAAUAAAAGGCCGGUGGACAUGCAAGCAGAUGCAGUCUCUCCGUGUUAACCAAAGAAAGGCAAAUUGCAACCAUGAGGAGAAGCUAAUUAUGGUCUCUGGAAUUGGUAAAGAGGAAAAUGAGUGGCAGGACCUGAUGUGGCAGGGAAGGUAGGGGGAGGGCCGACUUCUGCCGCACUGCUGGUGGGAGUGGUAAUUGGGGUCCUGAUCUCAUGGGUGACGUGGCCCUCACGUGAGCUGGAGCCGACGUGUGCAAACGUCCUUC